GAGGCUCAGAAAGCAGCGCUCUGGGGCAUCUCCACCAUGGCCUGGGCUCUGCUCCUUGUCACCCUCCUCACUCAGGGCACAGGGUCGUGGGCCAACUCUGCCCUGACUCAGCCUCCAUCGGUGUCUGGGACUCUGGGAAAGACGGUCACCAUCUCCUGCGCUGGAACCAGCAGUGACAUUGGGAGAUAUAACUAUGUCUCCUGGUAUCAACAGCUCCCAGGAAAUGCCCCCAAACUCCUGAUAUAUGAGGUCAAUAAACGAGCCUCAGGGAUCCCUGAUCGCUUCUCUGGCUCCAAGUCAGGCAACACGGCCUCCCUGAGCAUCUCUGGGCUCCAGUCUGAGGACGAGGCUGAUUAUAUCUGUGCCUCAUAUACAACUAGUAGCACUGUGCACAGUGGUCCACACUCAUGGGGAUGCUCCAGCUCCGGGGCUGACCGCUACCUGACCGUCUCCAACAUCCAGUCCGAGGACGAGGCGGACUAUUACUGUGGAGCCAACUAUAAAAGUGAUGACCAAUUCGGGUAA
Molecule: non-coding RNA, 525 nt
Organism: Vicugna pacos (alpaca)
Lineage: Eukaryota; Metazoa; Chordata; Mammalia; Artiodactyla; Camelidae
Source: the annotation of a RefSeq genome assembly